AGAGUUUGAUCCUGGCUCAGAACGAACGCUGGCGGCGUGGAUAAGACAUGCAAGUCGAGCGCUGAUUUCAGGGUAGCAAUAUUCUGAGGUCGGAGCGGCGCAAGGGUGCGUAACACGUGGGUAAUCUGCCAUGAAGUUCGGGAUAACUUGCUGAAAGGCGAGCUAAUACCGGAUGUGACAACUGGGAGGCAUCUUCUGGUUGUUAAAGUUGGGGACCGUAAGGCCUGACGCUUCUUGAUGAACCCGCGGCCUAUCAGCUAGUUGGUGAGGUAACGGCCCACCAAGGCUAAGACGGGUAGCUGGUCUGAGAGGACGACCAGCCACACUGGAACUGAGACACGGUCCAGACACCUACGGGUGGCAGCAGUCGAGAAUUUUUCACAAUGGGCGCAAGCCUGAUGGAGCGACGCCGCGUGGGGGAUGAAUGGCUUCGGCCCGUAAACCCCUGUCAUUCGCGAUCAAACGUUAUUAUUUAAAAGAUGAUGACCUGAUAGUAGCGGAAGAGGAAGGGACGGCUAACUCUGUGCCAGCAGCCGCGGUAAUACAGAGGUCCCAAGCGUUGUUCGGAUUCACUGGGCGUAAAGGGUGCGUAGGUGGUGAGGUAAGUCGGAUGUGAAAUCUCGGAGCUCAACUCCGAAAUGGCAUUGGAAACUACCUUGCUCGAGGGUUGGAGGGGGGACUGGAAUACUUGGUGUAGCAGUGAAAUGCGUAGAUAUCAAGUGGAACACCAGUGGCGAAGGCGAGUCCCUGGACAACUCCUGACACUGAGGCACGAAAGCUAGGGGAGCAAACAGGAUUAGAUACCCUGGUAGUCCUAGCCGUAAACGUGCACGUUUGCUGUAAAAGGAAUCGACCCCUUUUGUGGCGGAGCCACGCGUAAACGUGCCGCCUGGGAAGUACGGUCGCAGAUUAAACUCAAAGAAAUUGACGGGGCCUGCACAAGCGGUGGGAG
Molecule: ribosomal RNA, 952 nt
Filed under: uncultured bacterium
Lineage: Bacteria
Description: bacterial SSU rRNA
Rfam family: Bacterial small subunit ribosomal RNA
Source: RNAcentral